Molecule: ribosomal RNA, 526 nt
Filed under: uncultured bacterium
Lineage: Bacteria
Description: partial 16S ribosomal RNA
Rfam family: Bacterial small subunit ribosomal RNA
Source: RNAcentral
UGGGGAAUCUUCCGCAAUGGACGAAAGUCUGACGGAGCAACGCCGCGUGAGUGAAGAAGGUUUUCGGAUCGUAAAACUCUGUCUUUUGGGGCGAACGUGAGUAUGGUGAACAAUCAUAGUCAGUGACGGUACCAAAGGAGGAAGCCACGGCUAACUACGUGCCAGCAGCCGCGGUAAUACGUAGGUGGCAAGCGUUGUCCGGAAUUAUUGGGCGUAAAGAGCGCGUAGGCGGGAUAGUCAGUCUGUUGUAAAAGUGCGGGGCUCAACCCCGUGAUCGCAAUGGAAACAGCUAUUCUUGAGUGCAGGAGAGGAAAGUGGAAUUCCCAGUGUAGCGGUGAAAUGCGUAGAUAUUGGAAGGAACACCAGUGGCGAAGGCGACUUUCUGGACUGUGUCUGACGCUGAGGCGCGAAAGCCAGGGGAGCGAACGGGAUUAGAUACCCCGGUAGUCCUGGCCGUAAACGAUGGGUACUAGGUGUGGGAGGUAUCGACCCCUUCCGUGCCGGAGUUAACGCAAUAAGUACCCCG